Molecule: unclassified non-coding RNA, 253 nt
Filed under: uncultured Gammaproteobacteria bacterium
Lineage: Bacteria; Pseudomonadati; Pseudomonadota; Gammaproteobacteria
Description: contains 16S-23S intergenic spacer region
Rfam family: Bacterial small subunit ribosomal RNA
Source: RNAcentral
UACGUAGGGUGCGAGCGUUAAUCGGAAUUACUGGGCGUAAAGCGUACGCAGGCGGUUUUGUAAGUCAGAUGUGAAAUCCCCGGGCUUAACCUGGGAACUGCGUUUGAAACUACAAGGCUAGAGUGUAGCAGAGGGGGGUGAAAUUCCACGUGUAGCAGUGAAAUGCGUAGAGAUGUGGAGGAACACCGAUGGCGAAGGCAGCCCCCUGGGUUAACACUGACGCUGAGGCACGAAAGUGUGGGGAUCAAACAGG